GUGUUUGCCUGGAAUAUGACAAAUGGAGUUUCAUUUCCCAGCUCAGGCAUCCCACAGACCCUGGGCUCUCAGCCUUGGCACUUUUCAUACCAAAGCAUAAUGGUCUGUUUGCUCAUCUUACCACUAGACUGUGAGCCCCUGGAGCACAGGGGAUGUCUCUUACCAUCUUGAUUUCCCCAGUGCAUGUCAUUUAAAUUUUUUUUUUUUUUUUACUUAUUUAAAUGACUGAGUGAGUCCAUGUCAAGCAUGAAGGAAUAUUUAUUUCUGCAAUGUUCUUGCUAAAGCCUUGUAGGUAUCUUCAUAAAUCCUUCAUCCAUAAUGCAAUGCUCAUUGCAUUAUGAAGUCCUAUCCCUAGAGUGUAUCUCUACCCAGAUUAUUCUAUUAGGUAAAACAAUAUUUAUAAGUGAUGAGUAAAUAAUAUUUAUAUACUGCAGAGAUUGUUAUUAGAAACCUGCCACAGGAGGUUUCUCGUGUAGUGAAACAGGAGUCUCGAGUGUAGCAACUGUAACUCUACUAGAAGAUUCUACAAGUCCAUGCUGGGCCUGCUCACCAUGACAGCUUCCCUCUCUCCCUCUCCUUCAUGCAGGCUCUCUGCUUCCCAUCUCUCCCCUCUCCCAGCCUGGAAGCCAGGCCUGCAGCAGCAGCCAAUGUCCUGGGAGGAGCUGUACCUUGAGAAGUUCUGCUUCCACUGGGGGCUUCUCAACCCUGGACUGAACCCUCAAAGAACAGACACCCACGCUGUCUGCUGUCUCUUCCUCGAAGGAUGAAUGCAAGAUCUCCAGAUGAAGUGGACAUCAGUGUAUACAAGCCCAGAGGCCGUUUGGAAGAUGGACAAUGGAAAAAUACAAGUCACUGUGUGUCUGAAGCUUGGGGACCGUGUUGGUGGAGCGGGAAGAGACGGGAAGCAGUUUGAUGGAGUUUAUUGGAUGAAGCAGCUGCCAUCGGAGCAGUCACGCCACCUGAGUGACGCUAAUGAGACAGCUCCCCGCAUUGGACACAAAGUCUGAUAGCAGGAGAGAGAACCCUGGCUUGUGUCCAAAUUAACUUGUGGGCUUGCUCAUUGAUAAACUUCUUGAAAAGCAAAGACACCAUUUGCAAAGAAAAGGAAGAAGAUCGGGUUUUGUCCAAGGAAUUCAAUGCUUGGUUCUCAAUUGUGAUUCAUGACACCUAUGUUUUAUUUUCUUGGCUGUGGCUAGGACUCAACUGAUGACUUGAACGUGUUACAUCAAGCCUUAAUUUACCUGGCUAUAAAAUGGGUAUAGUCAGAAGUGAGCCCCACUUACCUGUUUGUGAUGCUGCAUAAAUGACUAGGCAAUGCCUAUAAAAUGUUCUCAGCCUUUGCUCAAAGGUCCCCAUAUAUGUGUCAUUGCUUUGUUGAUGGUGAUUUUGGAGUUGGUGUGGACUUUGUGGGUGGUGAGGCAGAGUCCCCCAGAGGGACUGACUCAUUUUGUCUAAGCUGCCAAAAACUGAUGCAAUCAGCAAUUUCUGGAUUUACCUGGCUAGCCAAAUAUUGAGAUCAACUGACCAUGAAAAAGUAUCAGAGGGUUUGGACUUGGAAGAGACUAGAAGUCUUACCUCGAAGACUUGCAAAUUAGAGACGGAAGGAGAGAGAAGAGAGGAAGGGAAUAGCAAAGAUUGUUUUUUAAAUUUGGUAGCUAAGUUACAUCAAGCACUGUGUUAAGUACUAAUUAAUUAUCUGUGUAUAUGUUAUCUCAUUUAUGUUUCCAUCUGGAGCACAGUGGCAGCAAUAAAUGUCAGUCGCAUAAACA
Long non-coding RNA from Ursus maritimus (polar bear), 1769 nucleotides. The record is from Ensembl. Lineage: Eukaryota; Metazoa; Chordata; Mammalia; Carnivora; Ursidae.